This 485-nucleotide ribosomal RNA is filed under the name uncultured bacterium. RNAcentral's name for it is "partial 16S ribosomal RNA". It matches the Rfam family "Bacterial small subunit ribosomal RNA", at positions 29 to 523 of the family's 1533-position model. The record is from RNAcentral.
AGUGAACGCUGGCGGCGUGCUUAACACAUGCAAGUCGAACGAGAACGGAAUAUAGCUUGCUAUAUUUGUCAGCUAAGUGGCGCACGGGUGAGUAAUGUAUAGAUAACCAGCCCUUAAGAAAGGAAUAACAGUUGGAAACGACUGCUAAUGCCCUAUAUGCCUUUAAUAAAUAAGUAUGCAAGGGAAACGCUUUAGUGCUUAAGGAUGGGUCUGUAUGGUAUCAGCUUGUUGGUGAGGUAAUGGCUCACCAAGGCUAUGACGCCUAACUGGUUUGAGAGGAUGAUCAGUCACACUGGAACUGAGACACGGUCCAGGCUCCUACGGGAGGCAGCAGUGGGGAAUAUUGCACAAUGGACGAAAGUCUGAUGCAGCAACGCCGCGUGGAGGAUGACACAUUUCGGUGCGUAAACUCCUUUUAUAUAGGAAGAUAAUGACGGUACCAUAUGAAUAAGCACCGGCUAACUCCGUGCCAGCCGCCGCCGUAA